CCUAUGGGAGGCAGCAGUGAGGAAUAUUGGUCAAUGGGCGCAAGCCUGAACCAGCCAAGUCGCGUGAGGGAUGACGGUUCUAUGGAUUGUAAACCUCUUUUGUCGGGGAGCAAGUCCCGCCACGUGUGGCGGGAAGGACAGUUCCCGACGAAAAAGCAUCGGCAAACUUCGUGCCAGCAGCCGCGGUAAUACGGAGGAUGCGAGGGUUAUCCGGAUUUAUUGGGUUUAAAGGGCGUGUAGGCGGUAGGUUAAGUCAGCGGUCAAAUGGCGGUGCUCAACACCGGCCUGCCGUUGAAACUAGUAUUCUUGAGUGAGCGAGAGGUAUGCGGAAUGCGUGGUGUAGCGGUGAAAUGCAUAGAUAUCACGCAGAACACCGAUUGCGAAGGCAGCAUACCGGCGCUCAACUGACGCUGAGGCACGAAAGCGUGGGGAUCGAACAGGAUUAGAUACCCCAGUAGUC
This 460-nucleotide ribosomal RNA is filed under the name uncultured bacterium. RNAcentral describes it as "partial 16S ribosomal RNA". It matches the Rfam family "Bacterial small subunit ribosomal RNA", at positions 338 to 795 of the family's 1533-position model. The record is from RNAcentral.